This 439-nucleotide ribosomal RNA is filed under the name uncultured Peptostreptococcaceae bacterium. RNAcentral describes it as "bacterial SSU rRNA". It matches the Rfam family "Bacterial small subunit ribosomal RNA", at positions 338 to 795 of the family's 1533-position model. The record is from RNAcentral. Lineage: Bacteria; Bacillati; Bacillota; Clostridia; Peptostreptococcales; Peptostreptococcaceae.
CCUACGGGCGGCUGCAGUGGGGAAUAUUGCACAAUGGGCGAAAGCCUGAUGCAGCAACGCCGCGUGAGCGAUGAAGGCCUUCGGGUCGUAAAGCUCUGUCCUCAAGGAAGAUAAUGACGGUACUUGAGGAGGAAGCCCCGGCUAACUACGUGCCAGCAGCCGCGGUAAUACGUAGGGGGCUAGCGUUAUCCGGAUUUACUGGGCGUAAAGGGUGCGUAGGCGGUCUUUUAAGUCAGGAGUGAAAGGCUACGGCUCAACCGUAGUAAGCUCUUGAAACUGGAGGACUUGAGUGCAGGAGAGGAGAGUGGAAUUCCUAGUGUAGCGGUGAAAUGCGUAGAUAUUAGGAGGAACACCAGUGGCGAAGGCGGCUCUCUGGACUGUAACUGACGCUGAGGCACGAAAGCGUGGGGAGCAAACAGGAUUAGAUACCCUAGUAGUC